This is a non-coding RNA of Granulicella tundricola MP5ACTX9, 77 nucleotides long. The record is from Rfam. Lineage: Bacteria; Pseudomonadati; Acidobacteriota; Terriglobia; Terriglobales; Acidobacteriaceae.
UUGAGCCGGAUGAUGGGAAACCAUCCAGUCCGGUUCUUAGGGGAGGGAGCGGCAGCGAUGCCGCUUCCUUACCCGAC